CCAGUCUGUUACCAAAUCUUGUAGAUUCCACCUUAAAAGCAUAGCCCCUUUUCUUACACAAGAUGUUACUAAGGAGAUUGUCCAUGCUCUAGUAAUCUCUCGCAUGGAUUAUUCUAACUCUCGCCUAAUAGGUCUUCCCACAAGUUUUAUUGCCCUACUACAGUCUGUAAUGAAUGCUGCAGUUACACUGAUUUUCCUCUCCUGUCGCUCC
Molecule: non-coding RNA, 211 nt
Organism: Pelobates cultripes (western spadefoot toad)
Lineage: Eukaryota; Metazoa; Chordata; Amphibia; Anura; Pelobatidae
Source: the annotation of a GenBank genome assembly